GGACAUCAUAAUUCAAAAUCUAUCCAGUCACUAAUUUACAGAGAAAAUUAUUAAAUUUUAAAAAUUCUUUUUGCUAAAAGAACUCGUCAAUCACAGUUGAAUCUCAAUUUAUAGAAAUAUUUAAUAAUAUACUUAACCCUUCAUUUUAAAUUGUACAAAAUAAAAUUUUCACACAAUCAAAAUAUUUUUCUAAAUUGUCUUACGAAAACUAACGGGUGUCCGAUCACUUAUCUUAACGCAGCUUGAAAUAGGUUGAUAAGAUCCAUUGGUGUAGCACUUUGCCCUGUAUAGCACUUAGCUCUCACACUUUCAUCUAGUAUUCGGCUCUGAUACGAAUUGUAACUAUCCAACUCGCCAGCAAUAAUAACUUGUUGGACUCAAACCACUGGUCCAAAAUGCUUAAAACUUAGUUAUUAUUACUAGCGUGCGAGGCCUCAUAUAAACUGAUCAAAUUCAGUAUCCCAUCUGAUGUGAAACUAUUGAGGGCAUUACAAACUCCCCCUGUUUAGACCCUGACGUCCUCGUCGGGUCCAAAUCAGAUCACAGAUACAUACAAGAAUUAUCAGGUAAUGUGAGAUUCUAGAGGUGGCUCCCACUAAAUUAUUGGUGUAGCAUUUUGCCCCGUAUAGUACUUAGCUUUCACACUUUCGGCUAGUAUUCGGCUCUGAUACCAACUGUAACUACCCGACCCGCCAGCAAUAAUAACUCGUUGGGCCCAAACCACUAGCCCAAAAUGCUUA
This 740-nucleotide long non-coding RNA is filed under the name Ananas comosus (pineapple). Its description in RNAcentral is "long non-coding RNA (ACOM_LNC036803)". The record is from RNAcentral. Lineage: Eukaryota; Viridiplantae; Streptophyta; Magnoliopsida; Poales; Bromeliaceae.